CCUACGGGAGGCAGCAGUGGGGAAUUUUCCGCAAUGGGCGAAAGCCUGACGGAGCAACGCCGCGUGAGGGAUGAAGGCCUCUGGGCUGUAAACCUCUUUUAUCAAGGAAGAAGAUCUGACGGUACUUGAUGAAUAAGCCACGGCUAAUUCCGUGCCAGCAGCCGCGGUAAUACGGGAGUGGCAAGCGUUAUCCGGAAUUAUUGGGCGUAAAGCGUCCGCAGGCGGUCUUGUAAGUCUGUCGUUAAAGCGUGGAGCUCAACUCCAUUUCGGCGGUGGAAACUACAGGACUAGAGUGUGGUAGGGGCAGAGGGAAUUCCCGGUGUAGCGGUGAAAUGCGUAGAUAUCGGGAAGAACACCAGUGGCGAAGGCGCUCUGCUGGGCCAUAACUGACGCUCAUGGACGAAAGCUAGGGGAGCGAAAGGGAUUAGAUACCCCUGUAGUCCUAGCCGUAAACGAUGAACACUAGGUGUCGGGGGAAUCGACCCCUCGGUGUCGUAGCUAACGCGUUAAGUGUUCCGCCUGGGGAGUACGCACGCAAGCGUGAAACUCAAAGGAAUUGACGGCUGNGAGNGCGAGCGACACGAGGAGAGG
Molecule: ribosomal RNA, 591 nt
Filed under: uncultured bacterium
Lineage: Bacteria
Description: bacterial SSU rRNA
Rfam family: Bacterial small subunit ribosomal RNA
Source: RNAcentral